This 460-nucleotide ribosomal RNA is filed under the name uncultured bacterium. Its description in RNAcentral is "partial 16S ribosomal RNA". It matches the Rfam family "Bacterial small subunit ribosomal RNA", at positions 338 to 795 of the family's 1533-position model. The record is from RNAcentral.
CCUACGGGAGGCAGCAGUGAGGAAUAUUGGUCAAUGGGCGCGAGCCUGAACCAGCCAAGUAGCGUGAAGGAUGACUGCCCUACGGGUUGUAAACCUCUUUUAUCAAGGAAUAAAGUGAGGCACGUGUGCCUUUUUGUAUGUACCUUAUGAAUAAGCAUCGGCUAACUCCGUGCCAGCAGCCGCGGUAAUACGGAGGAUCCGAGCGUUAUCCGGAUUUAUUGGGUUUAAAGGGAGCGCAGGUGGGUUGUUAAGUCAGUUGUGAAAGUUUGCGGCUCAACCGUAGAAUUGCAUUUGAUACUGGCAGUCUUGAGUACAGUAGAGGUAGGCGGAAUGCGUGGUGUAGCGGUGAAAUGCGUAGAUAUCACGAAGAACACCGAUUGCGAAGGCAGCUUACUAAACUGCCACUGACAGUGAGGCUCGAAAGUGUGGGUAGCAAACAGGAUUAGAUACCCGUGUAGUC